CUUCCCAAGACGGCUUCAGCUAUAUGUAUUGAACGCAACUUUCGGCAUUCAUUUUGCAUCGAUGAUAGCCUCAAAAUAGAAAGCGCUGUGUGGCUUUCAUUUCUUUACCCUUAAAUUCACACAAAUCCCCAGGAUGACCUCACUUUCGUAUCGGACAACGUUCUUUGUUAUUAUUGUUUCAGCAGCGCAUGGACAUGGGAGCGAAGGCCACCUCGUAGCCGAGAAUGGACAAAGUGGGCUAAGUGCGAAAGCCACAUGCCGCUCAUUACAAUUGUAUACGCAUGCAGGACCGAAGCAAGUUACCUGCAAGGUCGACUGCAAACAUGAAGGCCCAGGAGCAACAAUAAUGCAUAAUUCUAAGAAAGGAGAUGAAUGCCUAUGUGAAAACUUGGCUUGACAACGAAGCUGGGUUCGAGAGCCAGCGUCGUCGCAGUAGAAGUGACGGUUUCUCCUGCAGGUUUCGAUCAUAUGAAAUGUGAAGUCAAUUACACGUGUAAAUUAGGCUUAUGUGACCAUGCACUUGAUUGUCAGCCCUCCAAUUUGCUUAUCGGAUGCUGGAAACCUAUACCUACCAAUCAGUAUUCUCAUGUUAUAUCAUACAAGUGUCCUCAAUAAACUAAUGCAUUGCAUAUUUCCAUA
Molecule: long non-coding RNA, 639 nt
Organism: Rhipicephalus microplus (southern cattle tick)
Lineage: Eukaryota; Metazoa; Arthropoda; Arachnida; Ixodida; Ixodidae
Source: RefSeq, a predicted model, not a curated record